GCAAAAUGAUGCAAUGCAAAAAAUUUUUUUUAAAUUAUUGCCUGUUAAAAAUCUUUUUCUUUUGAUUUUGCAGUGAGAUGAAUCUCUCAGAAUCUCAUCACUGCAUCUGUAUCUGCAGAUCAGCACUGCAGCGGAGCGAAAACUGAGACAAGACAAGCGUCAGCGCUUGAGAGAUGAAGUGGAGAAAAACACUUUCUACAUCUGCAGACAUGGAGUGACCUAAGAACAUAAAACUGCCUGAUUUGAAACUGA
Molecule: long non-coding RNA, 252 nt
Organism: Sinocyclocheilus anshuiensis
Lineage: Eukaryota; Metazoa; Chordata; Actinopteri; Cypriniformes; Cyprinidae
Exons: 3
Source: RefSeq, a predicted model, not a curated record